Molecule: long non-coding RNA, 311 nt
Filed under: Spirodela polyrhiza (greater duckweed)
Lineage: Eukaryota; Viridiplantae; Streptophyta; Magnoliopsida; Alismatales; Araceae
Description: long non-coding RNA (SPOL_LNC001443)
Source: RNAcentral
CUCAGCCCAACGCAAAAUGGUUCCUGCAACACCCAGUAAACCAUGGGCGAAUGUUUUAUUGACCUGUGAGAGUUUGGCGCUCAUAGAAUCGGCUAAAUUAGGGCUCCAGAGACGAGUGAAGCGGACGAUCGUCUCUUUCGGGUGCUGCCACAAACCGGAAACGCAGCAGCGAUGGUCGGUCACCAGGAGGAGGGGUCUCGAUCACCAGAGACGUGUGCUUAGGUGUGGCUCCACCUGCCGAAAGGAAAGAGCGGCUCGUUCGCCUAAAGGGGACGAGAAAGGAAGCUGCGAGUCCGCUUGGGUCGUCAGAC